GGGCUCAACUCCGGAUCUGCGGUGGGUACGGGCAGACUAGAGUGAUGUAGGGGAGACUGGAAUUCCUGGUGUAGCGGUGAAAUGCGCAGAUAUCAGGAGGAACACCGAUGGCGAAGGCAGGUCUCUGGGCAUUAACUGACGCUGAGGAGCGAAAGCAUGGGGAGCGAACAGGAUUAGAUACCCUGGUAGUCCAUGCCGUAAACGUUGGGCACUAGGUGUGGGGGACAUUCCACGUUUUCCGCGCCGUAGCUAACGCAUUAAGUGCCCCGCCUGGGGAGUACGGCCGCAAGGCUAAAACUCAAAGGAAUUGACGGGGGCCCGCACAAGCGGCGGAGCAUGCGGAUUAAUUCGAUGCAACGCGAAGAACCUUACCAAGGCUUGACAUGGACCGGACCGCCGCAGAAAUGUGGUUUCCCCUUUGGGGCCGGUUUACAGGUGGUGCAUGGUUGUCGUCAGCUCGUGUCGUGAGAUGUUGGGUUAAGUCC
RNAcentral lists this ribosomal RNA (485 nucleotides) under Arthrobacter pascens. RNAcentral describes it as "bacterial SSU rRNA". It matches the Rfam family "Bacterial small subunit ribosomal RNA", at positions 605 to 1087 of the family's 1533-position model. The record is from RNAcentral. Lineage: Bacteria; Bacillati; Actinomycetota; Actinomycetes; Micrococcales; Micrococcaceae.